GAAUCAACCCAUCUAAUAGUGCAUGGGUAACGGAGUCAUUGUGUCGCUGUGGCCACAUUGAUUCGAUCCCAUCUUGUCGCUUUGGCCUUGAUGCGGAUCACCUUGCUUGGGGGGGGGAUACUGGCGGUACACGGGUGUUCAGCCAUACUCUCUUCAGGGGGGAGUACUGGUGAGACAUGCCUGAUUACGUCAGUCACUCCCAGCAACGCCCUUCAAACAAGGAAUAGGGUUCCGU
Molecule: long non-coding RNA, 235 nt
Filed under: Zostera marina
Lineage: Eukaryota; Viridiplantae; Streptophyta; Magnoliopsida; Alismatales; Zosteraceae
Description: long non-coding RNA (ZMAR_LNC003603)
Source: RNAcentral